GUAUUUGAUCACAAAUCUUAUUAGUUGCCAACAAUUUCCAUGUUUACGUACAAAGAAGUAGGUGGCGAGUGAACUGAGCUCUGUACAAAGAUCACAUCACAAGAGACUCCGUUCAAAGUGAACAUGAUAAAAAUACUACAGAUGAUCCAGGGUUACAAACUCAACUGAUCAUCAAUUACAACUUACAAUCAUCCCUCAUAUUCUUUGCUGGUUGUUACAAACUUAGAGCUUGUUACAUCCCAAAAAAGAUUGAUUAAUUCAGAGGGAGACACCAGGUAAAAAAGAACAGCAGUACAGGUCACAGUAAUUAAGGCUUCCAUCAACAGGCAAACAAACAACCUUUGACGGUCAUAAUAAAAGGAUUGAGAGACGUGUCCCCCCAUAUUAUAAUUGAUCCCAUAAUCAGCUCCAUUGAUCUUCAUAUAUACUCGACGAACCAGUUGGUUGGUGAAAAAGGAAAGAGUGCAGCAGUAAAAAGUAACCGAUCUCCUGUGAUAUGUGCCCCCGUAAACCCGAUAUGGAUUGCUUUCCAAUCAGGUAAAAAAAAGAGGGAACCGUUGCACUUACAAGGAGAAAAUUCUGUGUAGCUUGAGAAAACAGAUAUGCAACCACACCCUUACCCCAUGAAACCAAACCGUACUGGACCAGAUACAUUGAGCUCUUAUUGUGCAUGAUGGGAGAGAUUAAUUUAUAUGAGGGCAAGGAAAGAAAUCAAGAAAUAUACGUCACAGCUAUAGCUAGAGUAGUAGUAGUAUAUGCUAUAGCUAGAUGGCUAAUCAUCACCCUGAAUAUACCAGCAAAGAAGCAUGGUGGCGCAACGGCGUAGGAUGUAGAUACGAGCACGUUGCUCCUUCACCAAGGCCGCACACUUGUUGGUGAAGCCAUGUCCCUUAGAUCUCCCUGUAGCAGGGGCCUUCUUGGCCCCAGUACUGCUCUUGUUGUAUACUUGGAACUUAAUCUCACCCAUAUCUAGUAGAUUUUGUGUAAGCUAUGAGAGGUGUCCCCAAAAAAAGCUCGCCGAGAGCUUGGAGUAUGGGGGAGGGGCAAGGGGAUGUAUAUAUACAAAACACAAUACCCUAAGGAUAUGAAAAGCCAGUUAAGAACAGUUGGCUGUAUUUUGAAGGAAAGCAACAGGAGGAGGUGAACAUGGUCAGGUUCGAAAACUGAGGGAUUUGCAUGGGAAGACGUGCAUAGUAAUUAGAAGGUGCUCUUCUUUUUCCUUGUGUAUAGG
RNAcentral lists this long non-coding RNA (1231 nucleotides) under Populus tremula. Its description in RNAcentral is "long non-coding RNA (PTRE_LNC000102)". The record is from RNAcentral. Lineage: Eukaryota; Viridiplantae; Streptophyta; Magnoliopsida; Malpighiales; Salicaceae.